This 447-nucleotide ribosomal RNA is filed under the name uncultured bacterium. Its description in RNAcentral is "partial 16S ribosomal RNA". It matches the Rfam family "Bacterial small subunit ribosomal RNA", at positions 29 to 523 of the family's 1533-position model. The record is from RNAcentral.
AACGAACGCUGGCGGCAGGCUUAACACAUGCAAGUCGAAUGCAUCGCAAGAUGAGUGGCAGACGGGUGAGUAACGCGUGGGAACAUACCCUUUUCUACGGAAUAGCUCUGGGAAACUGGAAUUAAUACCGUAUACGCCCUACGGGGGAAAGAUUUAUCGGGGAAGGAUUGGCCCGCGUUGGAUUAGCUAGUUGGUGGGGUAAAGGCCUACCAAGGCGACGAUCCAUAGCUGGUCUGAGAGGAUGAGCAGCCACAUUGGGACUGAGACACGGCCCAAACUCCUACGGGAGGCAGCAGUGGGGAAUAUUGGACAAUGGGCGCAAGCCUGAUCCAGCCAUGCCGCGUGAGUGAUGAAGGCCUUAGGGUUGUAAAGCUCUUUCACCAAUGAAGAUAAUGACGGUAGUCGGAGAAGAGGCCCCGGCUAACUUCGUGCCAGCCGCCGCAGUAA